AUUCGCCGAAUGAGCGAGAAAAUCUCGUUACUACUGUGUGCUGCUGAUCUUCUGAACAAUCUGUAGCGUCCAUGCUUCUGAGAAAUUUGCUGAAAAUGGAAAGUGGGAUUUGGACCUUUAGAUAGUAUUGAGAGGCCAUCACGAACAGGCAGUGCUGAAGGAGAAUCAGAGCCCUCAUUCUGAAUGGAAAAUGAAUUCCUACCCAAAGAUGGUUUUUGAGUGCAGAAGAAAAGUGGCAAGUCCUCUGCUUCAAAUCCAUGUUUAGCUAUGAUCAUUGGAGUAGCCGGAGAAUUGGGGUUUCU
This 302-nucleotide unclassified non-coding RNA is filed under the name Hevea brasiliensis (rubber tree). The record is from RNAcentral. Lineage: Eukaryota; Viridiplantae; Streptophyta; Magnoliopsida; Malpighiales; Euphorbiaceae.